Molecule: non-coding RNA, 419 nt
Organism: Rattus norvegicus (Norway rat)
Lineage: Eukaryota; Metazoa; Chordata; Mammalia; Rodentia; Muridae
Source: RefSeq, a predicted model, not a curated record
GUUAGACCUGAGGUUCAGGGUGGUGGCCCUGAUUCUCUAGAUCCUUGAGGUGUUUCAUAUCUGUCGACACCCAGGGCUAAGGAGCAGGGUUUCUUUAAGGGAGAAAGUGUUAAGAGCAUAGUGACCAUGCCAUCUUGCAGGUCUCAGCAUUUCUCGAUACCAAGUAUCUUCUUCAGUGCCGAUGCCACAGUCUGAUCCUACACAGGUGAAAAGAGGAAUGUUCAAGCAACUUCAAUUCAUCACCAAUGCCAAGGGAUUCCUCAGCAAACAUGACCUCUGUGUACUGCACAUGGAAGACUCAGAUAAGAGAAUAGAGGCUUCACAAGAGGAACAUGAGAGGUACCUGAGCAAUGUAUAAAGACACUUACCUGCAGAGAACAUGGAGCUCAAUAAACUGAUUAAUCACCCCCUACCCAAAA